This 419-nucleotide ribosomal RNA is filed under the name Pseudoalteromonas translucida. RNAcentral's name for it is "bacterial SSU rRNA". It matches the Rfam family "Bacterial small subunit ribosomal RNA", at positions 117 to 538 of the family's 1533-position model. The record is from RNAcentral. Lineage: Bacteria; Pseudomonadati; Pseudomonadota; Gammaproteobacteria; Alteromonadales; Pseudoalteromonadaceae.
UUGGGAACAUGCCUUGAGGUGGGGGACAACAGUUGGAAACGACUGCUAAUACCGCAUAAUGUCUACGGACCAAAGGGGGCUUCGGCUCUCGCCUUUAGAUUGGCCCAAGUGGGAUUAGCUAGUUGGUGAGGUAAUGGCUCACCAAGGCGACGAUCCCUAGCUGGUUUGAGAGGAUGAUCAGCCACACUGGGACUGAGACACGGCCCAGACUCCUACGGGAGGCAGCAGUGGGGAAUAUUGCACAAUGGGCGCAAGCCUGAUGCAGCCAUGCCGCGUGUGUGAAGAAGGCCUUCGGGUUGUAAAGCACUUUCAGUCAGGAGGAAAGCGUGGUGGUUAAUACCCAUCAUGUGUGACGUUACUGACAGAAGAAGCACCGGCUAACUCCGUGCCAGCAGCCGCGGUAAUACGGAGGGUGCGAG